Molecule: RNA transcript, 7994 nt
Organism: Solenopsis invicta (red fire ant)
Lineage: Eukaryota; Metazoa; Arthropoda; Insecta; Hymenoptera; Formicidae
Exons: 3
Source: RefSeq, a predicted model, not a curated record
CUCUUUUAUUUUACUUCUUUUUUUAAUUCAAUUUUUAUAUUAAAAAAAUUAAUAUUCCAUAGUAAAGCCAUAGAUGUGUGUAAUCUCUCUCUCCAUAAUUUUAAAUUGAUUAAUAAAAUAAUUUAGGGAAUAAAUUUUCGUUUGGAGUAAUCUGUUCGAGAACAAUCUACAUGAAGUUUCCUUCAUUCUAGUUUCUAGUGGUGAUAAUUUCGUUAAUAUGUAUUAUUGAUAAGGAUCAUACUUGUCAACGAAAUUAUCACUGUUAGGAACUGAGCGUUCUCGUUCAACCCGGUUACGGACAACAAUCCGGGAGCAAUCCUCAUUGUUCCGCAACACAAAGCACAAUAUAAAUAUACUCUCUUUCCGAUUGAACAAUUAUAAAUAUUCUCUCUAAAUCUCAUAGAGUGAAACAUCACUCAAAAAGAGUGAAAAUUGAACUUGUACAAUUUUUCGAGCGAUUUAUCACUCUAAUAAAAGUCAAAAUUUAUUCCUAUGUAAUUAGCUUUGGUAAGUGGGUACACCCAACAAUGUCUCAGGAAAAUUGUGAUUGUCCUGAGUAUAAUUUUCGUGUCAUUACUAACAAAUCUUCCGCAAGAGUAGACACUCCUCCUCCUGUUAUGAAAAAACCGGCGGAGAAAGCCUACCCUAGAGAGAGCAAACACCGAAGUGCAUGGUUUUUCCCGCCAAUUCCUGUGCCAAAAGUGACGUGGCCGGUUAUUAUCGAUCACACGGAUGAGUCAGACAGGUACAUGCAGCAACCGUAUUCCAUAUGGAGAUUGCAGACAAAGAUCACUCCUGGAGCGAUCAUGUAACAGAUAUCAGCUUGAAUAGACCUAAGUAAGAAAACAAGAUAUUCUCUACGAUAUAGAAGAAAAUACGAGGAGAAAUGCGGGCUGUACAAGAAGAACUUGAAAACAAAUCUUGGAAGGUAACAAUUUUAAUAUUAACAUAAUUUGUUUUAUGUCCUUAGAGUUUUUCUCUGAUUUACAGAAACAAGAUUUAUUGCGUAAACUUCUUUCAAUUAAAUUUCAAUAUAGAAAAUAAUCUAAUUAAUAAAAUUCACUACACUUCAAUAUUGAAAAUAGAAUAUUUUUCAAAUAUUAUGUUUCGUGCGUGUUCGUGGGUGUGUGUAUAAGUCGAUUGCAUCACCACACCCUUGCUGCGAACGAAAAAUUCCACAGCGAUUAUGAAAGUGAAUUUCUAAGAGAUAGAUAUAGAAUUGAAGAAAUAUAUACAUAUAUCAUUAUUUGUCUUCCUACCUUUCCUAAGUCUUUUUCACCGACGUAUAGUGACCUAUUUUCUAUCGAUCAACGAAAGAUAUUAUUUUUAAAAAUAUCUUUAACUAAGUCAAGAUCGAUAUAAUCUGUCACGUUGAUCUGCAGCUGGCAGAGCUAUAGUGUCUCGGCAGCAAGUCAUAGAAAGCGAUAUGCGUGCGAGGCUGAACACUUUGUGUACUACCUAUCCUAACGCAUACAUUAUUUAACAGUUUGUAAGAGUAGUACGAACCACUUAUAUUAGAGUUUUACAAACGUUUACACGGGAGAGCGAUGGAAAGUGUUCUAGCUACAGUCUUCAUUGAUGACAUUGAUAGUAGACUUCGAUUGCUACAACUAGCGCCGCUUCAAUCUGCACUGGUUUUAAUUUUUAUUGUAAUAAAGCAAAGUGCAUCGUCGGAAGUAACGCCGUCUGAGUAUAAAUAGAGAACAUGCAACAGCGAAGCGGCAAGAUGCUCGCCGAGAUAAGUGGACUAAAGAAGCAUUAAGAGUAAGAAGUGUUUGAACAUUUUACACAAGUUACGACAAUAAAGACGAGAAAAUUGAGAAAGGGUAAAAAAAAAUAAAUAAAUAAAAUAAAAUAGAGGCGCGCGGAUUUCGAUCUUUGUCCAUACUUGGGUUUUAAACAAAAAAUUAUUGCACUGUUUAAAAAUGAAGUUCUUCGUGGGUAUUUUGUUAAUACUUGUGACAAUGAUGUUAACCUUGGCAUCAUCGACCGUUAGUCAGGAGGAUAAGGAUGCAAUGAACAAACAGAACGUUAUUCUGCGUACAAUUAUAGAGGCACCAACAAGAACAACUGCAAGACCAUGUCCGGAAGAUCAGAGACAGGAUUCUAGAGGAACAUGUCGCACGCCCCUAUAAUGACCGAGAAACACAGGUAACCGUUUUUCUUUGAAAGAGUGUAUUUAGGUCUGUUGUCACAAGCAGAAGACAACGUAGAUUCUAAAUUGGUGUAAUUAACUCAAAACAAGUGUGAAAGUCGCUCUUCUUUUUCAAAUAAAAAAUAAAAUAGAAACAGGCCACGUAAACGCACAAAAAAUAAGGUAGUCACGUAAAGCUCAUUUAACUUAUUUUAUUUUUUAUAAACUCUAUUUAUGGAAUUAUUAAAAUAAACUAAGUGAGAAUAAAAUGCUUAUUUUAAUCCCUCACAAAAAUAAAAUUAUCUUCCACAUAGAGCAUUCAUAAAUAAACGAGAAAAUUUUUUCAAAGUAAAUACUUGUGUUUUUUAAUACUCGAAUCAAAAAUAAAUUGAAAAUAACCAAGAAACUAAGCAACACCUCUUAAUCGUGCUUAUCAUAAAACGCUUAUGAUAAUAUACUUAUAAUAAUAUGAUACAUAUGCGCUUAACAUAAAGCACAUUUUUGUGCCUAGAAAACUAUAAAUUAUAAAUGAAGGUUAAUUAAAGGUAAUUAACUCACGCAAAAUUGUACUUCAGAUUCGGAUUCAAUACAUACAUUUUUAAGAAAACUUUGUAUGCGUGCGAAACUAAAUACUUUGAAUGAUACAUUAUCCCAACGUGUAUAUUAGAGGAAUGUAUGUCGCUAAUACUGACAUACGCCUCAAAAAGUGACACCUUCUAUUUUUCGAAAACUAAACAUUGCACUAAAUUAAUAUCAAAUAAAAUAUGAUCUGUAUUUAAUUUAAGAAAUUAAAAUCUAUAGUUCAUAUAUUUAUGGCUUAUUUAUAUUAUAUAUCAAAUCAGCUAAAAACAAAUUUUUCAAAUGCGAGAAUAAAAUUUUGAUAGUCUUUUGUGAAUUGCAUAAUUUAAACAACGUGUGUAUUAUAGAUAAUAUUAGAUGAUUUUACACGUUUGUCUAAAAUUGUUCUGUGCUUAUAUUUUUUCUCUUUCUUAUUUUUCUCAUCGUGUUGUUUUAAAUAAUUGCUAAGAAGUAUAAACCGGUUUCAGUUCACUUUUCUGAUCAACACUAAAGACUGACAAUAAUUAAGAACAUGAUGCACAUUCGACAAAUGACUUGUGUAUUUUCUUUCUAAUAAAUUUUCUAUUUUUUUAUAAACUAUAAAAAUAAAUAAUAUUAUUCUUAUUUUCUAGUCUCUAAACUGCUUCUAUUUUUAAAAUGUUCAACUCUAAUCUUUUAUUAUAAUAUAAAAAUUCUUGUUUUAUGAAUGAAAAUAUAUUUUCUUAUUUAAUUCAUUUAUUUAUUUUAUAAUAAACUGUUUAAAAAUUAAUUCCUCUAUUACAAAGCAGCAUCUGAAUUAAUACCAGUUCUGUCAUUAUUGCUAUGUUUAGAAACGGUUUUAAAUAAUAUUGGUAGUAAAAAUUAAAUUUUAUAUACUCUUAUUUAUUCUUAACAGCAGCUUAUUACUUAUUUACAUUUUUUUAAAUUAUAUCAUUCACAUAUAUUAAAAUAUUUUAAUUAUAAUAAACUCAUUUUAAUAUUUAACUUUAUGAAAAUAAAUCUGUCCCAUUUCUCCACAUUAAAUUUUAUUAUUUAAUUCUAUUAGUUUUAAUCAUUUAAUUUCACUAUGGAAUUAUAAAUAAUUUAAAUAAUUAAAUUGAUUUAUUAAUAAUUAUCACCAAUGUACACGUAUUCAUUGUUUCUAUUUUUCUUAAUUUUAAGAAGAAUUAUUUAUUUUUUAUCAAUCUAACAAAAAAUAUAAAAUAAAUACGAAUCAAGCGCGGUAAACGGUAUGCAAAGAAUUGUCAUAAAAUAAAAUUAUAUAAUUACAUAAGGAUUUAAUUUUGAUAUUAUUUAUUUUUGUUUUUGUGUUUUUCUUUUCCUUCCUAUAAUUCACGUACCAAAUUUUUGCAGCUUUUAAUUAUUUUUAUAAAGUAAGUUUUUCAGACUCGAUUUUAGUUAUGUUAUCAAAACUUUAAUUCUUGCAAAAUACAAAACAGUAUUUAAAAUAUUACUACAAUAGAAGAAACUUUUUAUUUUAAAUUUAUAUUUUUGAAAGUUUAAUUUUAAUUUUUAGUUUAUUAUGUUUAAAAAGCAUCCAAAAGAACAAAAAUAAAAUGAUAUAACAAUAUUGGCGACCUUCCUCUAUUUAUUAGUUUAUUACAGUACAAACUCUACUUCGUUUAUAUUAAAUUUUUACAGAUGUUUACAUGGAAAAGAAAUGUAAUGCUCCAAAUGUGAUGUUGACGAUACUGAUACUAGUAGACUUCGAUUAUAACAACUAGCCUUUAAUUUGCUCGACUUUUAUUUCUAUUAUAAUGAAGUAAAGUGCAAGUGACGUCAGAGGUAACAUCUGGACUGCGUUCAGAAACAUUACUCGAACGCACCCAGGUGUCGUUUUGCCCUUAUUUAACAUUCAAUAAACAACAAGAAUAAAAAUGAUAUCUUUGAUGUUUCUGAAUACAGUCCUAAAUAUAGAUAAAGAAUAUUUAAGCGAAGCUGAAUAGUUGCCGAGUUAAGUAGAAUAAUGAAGUAUAAAGUCUACAGAAGAGAAGGAGGUAAUACGGCUCUUUCCCUUCAUUUAUAUUUUAUACAAUAAUUUUAUUUAUAAUCAAUAGUUUUAAUUAGCAACUUAACGAUUAUAUUCGUCAAUGUGCUCUUCAAUCGAUUCUAGACUUAAAGUUAGAUUUCUUAUUGUUAGGACAUUAUUUAUAUAAAUGUGACGAUAUUACAUGAAUCAAAGACAAAUAAAGGUGGUAAUGUGGUUCCUUCAUUAAAAUAAAUUUAACAAAUAGAUUUUGUUUAAAGAACAUAGAAUUUUGUAGUAAAAUGAUAUAUUUAAUCAAAAUAAAAUAAAUAAUUAAAAAAGAAGAUAUUGCAGAAUAAAUGCAAAUGUAUGUAGGAACGUACGUACAUAAAACUCUUCCUACAUAAAUUGUAUUACUGAAAAUCUGUAAUACACGUAAUGUAACUUAUAGAUUAGUAGUAGAAUAAUAAUAAAUUUAUUGAAUAACUUUGAAAAAGAGAUGAUAUUAUAGGCCUGUUUCAGUAUCAAGUUUAAGCAGCUACAUUAAUAAAAUUCCUGUUUAUAACAUUAUACACGUACAGUUGCAGAUAAUUAUCGGUGCAUUAGCGUAAUCUCUUGUAUCUUUCUUUAAAUAUCUUUUAAUGAUAAAAAGCAAUUUAAAAUAUAUACGUAUAACUAUCAGAGUCAGAAUCUCGGUGGGGUUUUUGCGAAAAACAACAUUGCCUACGUCGAUAGCGGUCUAACGCAGGGAACGAGAUACCAUCGCGUUCGAUUCUGCUUUUCGCAGCGCGCGAUGCUCGAGUGAGGGCUAAACGCUAUCAAGAUUUUUACAAUAGUUAAUAAAAUAAAUAAAGAAUUUUAGUUUAUAAACUUAGAAAUUAGUAGAAACCAAAGACGACAGGAAGGAAUCCUUAAUUCUAUUAUUAAGACUAAAAUAAAAAAUAAUCAUUAAUGUUAGAACAUAUAAAUAAAUUAUUUGAAAUUAGUGAAUAAAUAAUAAAAAAAAGAAAUAAUAAUUUAAAUAAAAAAAUAAAAAAGAUCAUGUAAAAAAAAUGAUAAUUACAUGUUUUGAUCUUUCGUUUGUAACGUGAUGGUUUGUGAUUGUAACUUCUCAUCUGAGUAAACAGAAACGUACUGAUUUAACCAGUUUUUUUCAAAAAAUGAUAAUUAUAGUUUAUAUAAGAAUCAGGAAAACGGGAUAGUUAUAAAACGGGAGAAGACGCAGAAAAGCAAUAUUGUGAGUUUACUUGCCGAAAGGAUAAAGUGUGUACUGAAGAUCCAGAUUGCAGUAAGUUAAGUAAAUCAAUAAAAAAAUUGAAAAAGAGAAAACAAAGAGAAAAAGCCAAAGAAAAGAGUGACACAAAAAUUUCUGAAAGUUCCUUCAGUUAUUUUAUAUCUAAUAAAAAAAGGUAAAUCAAGAAAUUAAGGUACAUAAUUUAAAGGUGUUCAAAGAGUAUUUAAACGUCUGAAAAAAGAUAUUGAUAAGACAUUUAGAAAAACUUUAGUAGAACAGAAAGAAAAGGUUUAUAUCGAACAUAUUCGAUAAAAUUUCGUGAAAAUAUAAAAUAUUACCUAGAUGAAACAUGACGUAUAAUUUGAUCUAAUAUUUUUUAGAUUUACGUGAAAAAUAUUAAGAUUCUCGCAACACGAUGAAAAUUUGUAUUAACGUUUUGCUGACAAUUAUGUUAAUGAUGACCAUGGUUAUAUCAUUAGGAAUAUGUAAUACGAUGAAAAUUCCACCUAGUACAAAAGAAAAUAUAACAACGACCACAACUCCACCUAGUACCACAGAAAAUAUAAGAACUACUACUUACAAUAAAUUUAAAAAAUGUCCUACACUUACCAUACUGAGCCUACCAGUAAACUCUACGGAAGGAAGGUAUCGUUACACGUGUCUUUAUAACAAUGGCACGCGAAAGAUACUCAGAGUCAGCUGCAAGAACAAGUGCAAAAUCAAUGCAAAACCAAUGUCUGGAAGGCCAGUGACAGGAUUAUAGAAGAAUAUGUCGCACAUCUAUGCCGCCAUGUAUCUACUUAAUGACCGAGAAACACAGAUGAUAAUGACAGCUCGCAAGAAUCAGGAAAACAGAAUGGCUAUAAAACGAAAAGAGACGUAGAAAAGCAAUAUUGUGAGUUCACUUGCUGAAAGGAUAAAAUGUGUAUUGAAGAUCCAGAUUACAGUGAGUAAUUCAGCAAGAAAAUCGAAAAAGAGAAAACAAAGAGAAAAAAAAACAAAGAAAAGUGUGACAUAAAAAUACCUGAAAGUUUCUUCAAGUUGUUUUAUAUCUAAUAAAAAAAAACUAAAUAAAGAAAUUAAGCAACAUAAUCUAAAAAUAUCCAAAAAGUAUCUGAACGUCUAAAAAAAGAUAUUAAUAAGACAUUUAGGAAAACUACAGAAAAACAGAAAGAGAAGAUUUAUAUCGAACGUAUUCUCGAUAAAACUUCGUAAAAAUAUAAAAUAUUACCUAAAUGAUAUAUGACGUAUAAUUUAAUAUGAUAUUUUUUAGAUUCACGUGAAAAAUAUUAAGAUUCUCAGUAACACAAUGAAAAUUUGUAUUAACGUUUUGCUGACGUUUUGCUAAUAAAUUAUGUUAAUGAUGAUCAUGCAGUCAUGUCACUAAGGACAUGUAACAUACAAUCACAACUUCACGUACAGAAAUAAGUAUUGUAAAAUACCCUCUACAGCCUCCAUUCGACAAAGGAUAUUUCGCCGGAGGAAUACCUAUCAGAUGCUUUUAUAAUACCAAUGGCGAGCUAAAGGUGCACAUAAAUAAUUAUUAAAUAUUUGUACUCAAUUCUUAUAACAGAGAAGUGAUAUAAACUUUCAAACAUAAUCGCAUCAGCAUUUUCAGUAAUAUAUAGUAAUGCAAAGUUGCAAGAAACAGGCAGAUUAUGUAGGUGAAUAUUGUUCAAGUUGUUAGAAAAAAAUGAAUUUUAGUGAUCAAAAUAAUUAAAAAUAGAAAUAAUACGAAGCGUAAUAUUAAUUUAAGUUUUUAAAAACAUUCAAACGUUUAUUCUGCUUUAUUUUAUAGUUAAAGACAAAUGACAGUGGUCAUGGAAUACAUUUGGUAUAGUGUAAUAUUAUGACAUCUUGUAUAAUUAGCAAUAAAUAUUAAGAACAAUUGUUAAAAUUACUUUGUUACAAUCUACUUAGAUAUUAUAGGAUAGUUACUGAUGAUAUAUGAAAGCUGAAUUUUAGUUUUGCAGGUAACAAGAAUUUUUACAGGUGUAUACUCUCUACGUAAUUUUGAGAAAUAUGUUGUAUAUUAAAUUUUUAACUUUAGUUUAAUUUGAAAGCCUUGAAUGUAAAUUUUAAAUAAUAUUAUUGAAUUUAAU